UGACGUGAAGCAUCUGUGGUGAUACGUCUGACUUUUAAUCAGAAGGUGCAGGUUCGAAUCCUGUCACGUCAA
RNAcentral lists this transfer RNA (72 nucleotides) under Enterococcus faecium. RNAcentral's name for it is "tRNA-Lys". It matches the Rfam family "tRNA". Rfam says of the family: Transfer RNA (tRNA) molecules are approximately 80 nucleotides in length. Their secondary structure includes four short double-helical elements and three loops (D, anti-codon, and T loops). RNAcentral also lists the same sequence under 1 other name. Lineage: Bacteria; Bacillati; Bacillota; Bacilli; Lactobacillales; Enterococcaceae. The record is from RNAcentral.